This 248-nucleotide ribosomal RNA is filed under the name uncultured bacterium. Its description in RNAcentral is "partial 16S ribosomal RNA". It matches the Rfam family "Bacterial small subunit ribosomal RNA", at positions 109 to 353 of the family's 1533-position model. The record is from RNAcentral.
AGUAACGCGUGGGUAACCUGCCCUGUACAGGGGGAGUAACAGUCAGAAAUGACUGCUAAUACCGCAUAAGACCACAGCACCGCAUGGUGCAGGGGUAAAAACUACCGGUGGUGCAGGAUGGACCCGCGUCUGAUUAGCUGGUUGGUGAGGUAACGGCUCACCAAGGCGACGAUCAGUAGCCGGCUUGAGAGAGUGAACGGCCACGUUGGGACUGAGACACGGCCCAGACUCCUACGGGAGGCAGCAUG